This 74-nucleotide transfer RNA is filed under the name Jenufa minuta. Its description in RNAcentral is "tRNA-Met". It matches the Rfam family "tRNA". From Rfam's summary of the family: Transfer RNA (tRNA) molecules are approximately 80 nucleotides in length. Their secondary structure includes four short double-helical elements and three loops (D, anti-codon, and T loops). Further hydrogen bonds mediate the characteristic L-shaped molecular structure. tRNAs have two regions of fundamental functional importance: the anti-codon, which is responsible for specific mRNA codon recognition, and the 3' end, to which the tRNAs corresponding amino acid is attached (by aminoacyl-tRNA synthetases). tRNAs cope with the degeneracy of the genetic code in two manners: having more than one tRNA (with a specific anti-codon) for a particular amino acid; and 'wobble' base-pairing, i.e. permitting non-standard base-pairing at the 3rd anti-codon position. Lineage: Eukaryota; Viridiplantae; Chlorophyta; Chlorophyceae. The record is from RNAcentral.
GAAAGAAUAGCUCAAAUAGGUAGAGCUUUGAGCUCAUAACUCAAUGUGUAUAGGUUCAAAUCCUAUUUCUUUCA